AUUGAACGCUGGCGGCAGGCUUAACACAUGCAAGUCGAACGAGUGGCGGACGGGUGCGUAAUGCUUGGGAAUCUAUCUUAUGGAGCGCGCUCACUACGGGAAACUUUAGCUAAUACCGCCUACCAUAGGCUGAGCCCAAUUGGCUUUAGGUAGUUGGUGAGGUAAAGGAUCACCAAGCCGACGAUCUCUCCCUGGUCUGUGAGGAUGACCAGCCACACUGGGACUGAGACACGGCCCAGACUCCUACGGGAGGCAGCAGUGGGGAAUAUUGCACAAUGGGGGCAACCUGAAGCAGCCAUGCCGCGUGAAUGAAGAAGGCCUUCGGGUUGUAAAGUUCUUUCGGUAGCGAGGCGUUAACCACAGAAGAAGCACCGGCUAACUCCGUGCCAGCAGCCGCGGUAAUAC
This 405-nucleotide ribosomal RNA is filed under the name uncultured bacterium. RNAcentral's name for it is "partial 16S ribosomal RNA". It matches the Rfam family "Bacterial small subunit ribosomal RNA", at positions 30 to 526 of the family's 1533-position model. The record is from RNAcentral.